AUUGAACGCUGGCGGCAGGCCUAACACAUGCAAGUCGAGCGGAUGAAGGGAGCUUGCUCCUGGAUUCAGCGGCGGACGGGUGAGUAAUGCCUAGGAAUCUGCCUGGUAGUGGGGGAUAACGUCCGGAAACGGGCGCUAAUACCGCAUACGUCCUGAGGGAGAAAGUGGGGGAUCUUCGGACCUCUCGCUAUCAGAUGAGCCUAGGUGGGAGUAGCUAGUUGGUGGGGUAAAGGCCUACCAAGGCGACGAUCCGUAACUGGUCUGAGAGGAUGAUCAGUCACACUGGAACUGGGACACGGUCCAGACUCCUACGGGAGGCAGCAGUGGGGAAUAUUGGACAAUGGGCGAAAGCCUGAUCCAGCCAUGCCGCGUGUGUGAAGAAGGUCUUCGGAUUGUAAAGCACUUUAAGUUGGGAGGAAGGGCAGUAAGUUAAUACCUUGCUGUUUUGACGUUACCAACAGAAGAAGCACCGGCUAACUUCGUG
Molecule: ribosomal RNA, 484 nt
Filed under: uncultured bacterium
Lineage: Bacteria
Description: partial 16S ribosomal RNA
Rfam family: Bacterial small subunit ribosomal RNA
Source: RNAcentral